This 665-nucleotide ribosomal RNA is filed under the name uncultured fungus. RNAcentral describes it as "eukaryotic LSU rRNA". It matches the Rfam family "Eukaryotic large subunit ribosomal RNA", at positions 23 to 673 of the family's 3401-position model. Lineage: Eukaryota; Fungi. The record is from RNAcentral.
ACCCGCUGAAUUUAAGCAUAUCAAUAAGCGGAGGAAAAGAAACUAACAAGGAUUCCCCUAGUAACGGCGAGCGAAGCGGGAAGAGCUCAAAUUUGAAAGCUGGCACCUCCGGUGUCCGCGUUGUAAUCUCGAGACGUGUUUUCCGUGCGGCUCUAUGGACAAGUCCCUUGGAAUAGGGCAUCGUAGAGGGUGAGAAUCCCGUACUUGCCAUGGAAGAACCGUGCUUUGCGAUACACGCUCUAAGAGUCGAGUUGUUUGGGAUUGCAGCUCAAAAUGGGUGGUAGACUCCAUCUAAAGCUAAAUAUCGGGGAGAGACCGAUAGCGAACAAGUACCGUGAGGGAAAGAUGAAAAGCACUUUGGAAAGAGAGCUAAAAGUACGUGAAAUUGUCGAAAGGGAAGCACUUGAAGUCAGCCAUGCUGCUCGAGACUCAGCCUGGCCUUUGGGCUUGGUGUAUUUCUCGGUGGCAAGCCAGCAUUGGUUUGGGUCGUCGGAGAAGCGCAUAGGGAAUGUAGCGUUUCCGGACGUGUUAUAGCCUUAUGCAGGAUACGACGACCUGGAUCAAGGAACGCAGUGUGCCCUCUGGGCGGGUCUUCGGACACCUUCACACUUAGGAUGCUGGCGUAAUGGCUUUAAGUGGCCCGUCUUGAAACACGGACCAAGGAG